GCGGAAGUAGCUCAGUUGGUAGAGCGAUAGCCUUCCAAGCUAUAAGUCGCGAGUUCGAAUCUCGUCUUCCGCU
RNAcentral lists this transfer RNA (73 nucleotides) under Pedobacter sp. BS3. It matches the Rfam family "tRNA". From Rfam's summary of the family: Transfer RNA (tRNA) molecules are approximately 80 nucleotides in length. Their secondary structure includes four short double-helical elements and three loops (D, anti-codon, and T loops). The record is from Rfam by way of RNAcentral. Lineage: Bacteria; Pseudomonadati; Bacteroidota; Sphingobacteriia; Sphingobacteriales; Sphingobacteriaceae.